This 120-nucleotide non-coding RNA is filed under the name Acinetobacter bereziniae. Its description in RNAcentral is "Glycine riboswitch". It matches the Rfam family "Glycine riboswitch aptamer", at positions 10 to 85 of the family's 94-position model. From Rfam's summary of the family: This family represents the bacterial glycine riboswitch. Glycine riboswitches usually consist of two metabolite-binding aptamers domains with similar structures in tandem. Lineage: Bacteria; Pseudomonadati; Pseudomonadota; Gammaproteobacteria; Moraxellales; Moraxellaceae. The record is from RNAcentral.
AACCUCUGGAGAGAAGUCAUUCUAUUGAAAACAAAAAAGAAAUGGCUCACCGAAGGGGAAGGUAAAACCUAAAUAGUUUAGGUUUUUAUCGAAGCUCUCAGGUACACAUGACAGAUGGGG